Molecule: ribosomal RNA, 569 nt
Filed under: Hyalodon piceicola
Lineage: Eukaryota; Fungi; Basidiomycota; Agaricomycetes; Auriculariales; Hyaloriaceae
Description: partial 28S large subunit ribosomal RNA
Rfam family: Eukaryotic large subunit ribosomal RNA
Source: RNAcentral
CCCCUARUAACGGCGAGUGAAGCGGGAAAAGCUCAAAUUUGAAAUCUGGCGGUCUCAGGCCGUCCGAGUUGUAGUCUAGAGAGGCGUCUUCCGUGCCGGACCGUGUACAAGUCCCUUGGGAUAGGGCGUCAUAGAGGGUGAGAAUCCCGUCCAUGACACGGACUGCCGGUGCUCUGUGAUGCGCCUUCAAAKAGUCGAGUUGUUUGGGAAUGCAGCUCAAAAUGGGUGGUAAAUCCCAUCUAAAGCUAAAUACAGGCGAGAGACCGAUAGCGAACAAGUACCGUGAGGGAAAGAUGAAAAGCACUUUGGAAAGAGAGUUAAACAGUACGUGAAAUUGUUGAAAGGGAAACGCUUGGAGUCAGUCGCGUCCGUCGAGACUCAGCCGGGCUUCUGCCCGGCGCACUUCUCGGUGGAUGGGCCAGCAUCGAUUUCGGCUGCCGGAAAAGGGYGAGGGGAAGGUGGCACCUCCGGGUGUGUUAUAGCCCCUCGUCGUAUACGGUGGCUGGGAUCGAGGUUCGCAGCACGCCUUUAUGGUCGGGGUUCGCCCACGCCACGUGMUUAGGAUGCUG